Cydia fagiglandana is the source of this 1400-nucleotide long non-coding RNA. RefSeq lists it as uncharacterized. NCBI's taxonomy places the organism in Eukaryota, Metazoa, Arthropoda, Insecta, Lepidoptera, Tortricidae. The record is from RefSeq and is a predicted model, not a curated record. The transcript has 4 exons.
UAGCUGCGCUGUGCGCUGCGCAGUUCAUGAGUUCACAUCAAAAUGGCGCUCGCUCACUCGCUGUGCGUAGAACGUAGUACUUGUGUAAACGUGUAAAUAAAUUGGAGAUAGCAUACAAGAAAACAGAAAGGGUUCGCGGUUCACCUUUUUUGUAACGGUUUCCUCGGCGUCCUUUACAAAGUCCAGUUGAUAUCGUGUCCUGUCCACGUCCAGGGUGGAUCAGACCUGAUCUACAAAAUCUUGGAGCAGCCGCUUUCGUCGUAUGCCAUUAAAAAAAUUAAAACAUGCCCGUUAUUAAAAUUUGGUCAGUAGACCAAACAAUCAAGAAAGCUGUUCCAAUAAUGGACCCAACUUUAAAAAAUAUCAUUGAAAAAGGUGAGUAAAUCUAAAUUAAUUUGACUUUUCGUAAUGAAAUAUUUUUUGUGUAAUUGUAGAAUGUAGUGUAUUGUAGAAUAGACUAUAAUUGGAUACCUACUGUUAAGCAUUAAUGUGCUGACUCAAACCACAUUUAUUUUGCAGUAUGAUGUCAAUUUAAAAAUUUGACGCUUGAAGUUGACAAGAUAGAGCUGAUGCUGAACCCUGGCUGUACCUAGUGGAACUCAGGUUUGGUGCAACAUAGGCCCACGCUAUUUUGAUCAUCCGUCACAUAGAGGGAGAGCAAUACCCAAGAUAUAAUUCAUAAUCCAUUUUCUUCCAGAUGAGGUACCAUCCUAAAUAUAGUAGUUCCAUUUACUAAUCUUAUUAACUUUUUCUUUUCCAGGAACCAUUAACCAGGGUUCAAGUUGCAGAGCUAUCCGAAAUAGCUGCGCCUAACAUUGUAUUUUUAGAUAAUGAAAAUAUAAUUAUAUUACUUGCUGGUAGAAAAAACGAUUGUUAGCGAAACAGAUUCUGCCUACGUCGUUACAACUAUUGAUGGCGGCUUACUGCAACUUGAAUAUGGAAUAUCCAGUGGACUGUCAAAACACAUUAGAAUUUAUACAAAGGUAUAUUUUUAUUAAAAUAAAUCCUAAAGAAGGAAGUCAUAAGUAAUAGUUUUUGAUUUUUAAAAAGCGUUUUUCAAUUAAAAGACAUGUCAAGAUCGCUUAACUUCUUGCAAGUUCUUUCUAAUGCUAAAAAAACUAACUAUAAUUAAUGUCAGUAACAAACAUUUUCAGACAAUUCGUUACUUGAAAUGGUAUAGGUUUCACGCAUUAGAUUCACAUAGGCCUUAUUAACCGAAACUUUUAUAAGACUAAUUCGUAAGAAGUACUUAUGUACAUAAGAUAUAAUUUAUAGUGUCGUAUAUGUCUUCUACUUUUUGUACUCUGUCACAGAAUAAAUAAUAAUAAUAUGCACGUAGACGUGUAUAUACGCGUGUGCUCUAUAAUUUUAGUGUGUGAAAUUCAAUAAAUUUAUUUCUU